AGAACGAACGCUGGCGGCAUGCCUAACACAUGCAAGUCGAACGAAGCCUUCGGGCUUAGUGGCGCACGGGUGCGUAACACGUGGGAAUCUGCCCUUAGGUACGGAAUAACUCAGGGAAACUUGAGCUAAUACCGUAUGAUGUCUUCGGGCCAAAGAUUUAUCGCCUAAGGAUGAGCCCGCGUCGGAUUAGCUAGUUGGUGGGUAAAGGCCUACCAAGGCGACGAUCCGUAGCUGGUCUGAGAGGAUGAUCAGCCACACUGGGACUGAGACACGGCCCAGACUCCUACGGGAGCAGCAGUGGGGAAUAUUGGACAAGUGGGCGAAAGCCUGAUCCAGCAAUGCCGCGUGAGUGAACGAAGGCCUUACGGGUUGAAAGCCGUCGUUUUACCCGGGAAG
Molecule: ribosomal RNA, 396 nt
Filed under: uncultured soil bacterium
Lineage: Bacteria
Description: bacterial SSU rRNA
Rfam family: Bacterial small subunit ribosomal RNA
Source: RNAcentral